Zingiber officinale is the source of this 410-nucleotide long non-coding RNA. RefSeq lists it as uncharacterized. The record is from RefSeq and is a predicted model, not a curated record. NCBI's taxonomy places the organism in Eukaryota, Viridiplantae, Streptophyta, Magnoliopsida, Zingiberales, Zingiberaceae. The transcript is spliced from 3 exons.
GACUUGGGCUUUUGGAAAUCCCUAACUCCGGUGGUCAUGGCUCACUUCUGCACUUUACCACUAUGCCAUUAAAUGUCUCAUUUCAUUCUAGACCAACCUUGUAAGCAUAUGAAUAUUGGUCAAUAUUUGAUGCAAAUGUUUUGAGUUUGAAGGAAUUCACUGAUCCAACGCCUAAAGAAGGAACAUCCAUUUUGAAGGCAAUAUCUUCAGCUAUGGUAUUGCUCAAAGGUAAACAAUCAUCAUGUGGUGUUGCAUUGUUAACUGAUUCUAAUUAUGGGACAUGAAUCUAAACUCGAAUUUAAGGCUCCCAAAUUAAGAAGCACACCUUUCUAAUUAUCCAUUGAAAAAAUAUAGCAUAAAGAAUUAAUAUUUCCAAUUUAUAGGAAUAAAUGCUCAAUGCUAGUGGAUAU